Molecule: long non-coding RNA, 1020 nt
Filed under: Gallus gallus (chicken)
Lineage: Eukaryota; Metazoa; Chordata; Aves; Galliformes; Phasianidae
Description: lncRNA (ENSGALG00010025961.1)
Source: RNAcentral
GGAGAAACGCAAUGUGUUGCUGUGGCUGCCAGCUCCUGGACUUAUCCUCUCUUUUCUUUCUCCCCGAGUGCUGUAAAAUACGCCGCGAAUUCAGCACCACCAAUGGAUUCUUUUUCCUUAAGGUGUGGAUUUUUUGAAAUGAGAAAAUGGAACCGAGGGAGCUUGUGAAAGAGGAGAUCCUUGAGACAAAGCGCAGUGCCAGCCAGAAGCUCAGCCUCGGAUACCUGGCCGUCAGACAGAACAUGGGCAUGAAGACGAGAGCAGAGACAGACCCUACAUUGCACCAAGGCCACGUCAGCUAUGCAGGAGACAGUGGACCUGCAAAUGCAACAAGAAACAGGAAGCUCUUCUUUAACGUCCGUUGUUGCCUUCGUCCUCCCAGCGGCUUCUCCUGCAAGAAGAUGUGGAUGAAGAUCAAGUGAGCACCAGGCUGCCGCCAUAUGUGCAGGAACACCUGCAGAAUAAAAAGUCCUGUUCACCAGAGAUGUACCGCUCCUCUUUGCACCCCUGGAAGCAGGCUGGAGGGGAUUGGGCUCUGGGUGUUGCACCCCACCUGAGGGAGAAUGUACGCACUUUCAGAGGGCAGCCCCCAGCCAAGCAGCACCACCCUGGGAAGCCUCAGCUUCAGCCAAGAGCUGGGGGACAAACAGGGGCUCAAGUGCUGAGCAGAGCCCAGGGAACAGAGAACUGGCUUGGGAGCACUGGGGGGUUCCACCACCUGCCAGGAAGCACCCACACUGCGCUUACCAGAACAGAGAGCUUCACGCUGUUGGGCAGCUUCUGGCAUUUCUUGCUCACAACCUCCAGCAGAAGCCAGCUGCAUCACUGCACCUUCCCUGCCGGUGGAGGAGGGCAGGCAAGGUGCAGCUGCCCCCAGGAUGCCGUGUCCCCAGGCACCCCCUACCCCCACGGGAGCAGGGAGGUGCCCCACAGCAGGAAGCAGCACCAGGACCCCAAGUCCUGUUAGGAAGGAAGUGCUGCUGCACCAACAGCCCUGCACCACUGCUCCCCAUACCUCUC